Small nuclear RNA from Heterocephalus glaber (naked mole-rat), 102 nucleotides. Lineage: Eukaryota; Metazoa; Chordata; Mammalia; Rodentia; Bathyergidae. The record is from Ensembl.
AGCGUUCCAUACUGUUUACUAAAAUUGGAACGAUACAGAGAAGAUUAGCAUGGCCUCUGAGAAACAGUUGUGUGACAUUAAUAUGAAAAGGUAAGAAUUGAA